Molecule: long non-coding RNA, 605 nt
Filed under: Homo sapiens (human)
Lineage: Eukaryota; Metazoa; Chordata; Mammalia; Primates; Hominidae
Description: HSALNT0087050
Source: RNAcentral
AAGUAAAGCAGGAGUAGGUAGUGAGGAUUGGGGGAAGUUUGCAUUAUUAAAAUAGGAUAGUCAGAGAUGGUCUCACGGACAAGGUGACAAUGAGCAGAGCCUUGAAAUGAGUGAGGGAGUGAGCCAUUAGACUAUCUGGAAAGGAGAGUUUCAAUCAGAGAGAAGUUCAAGGAGAUUGGAACCACCUGGACCAUCUGGAUAUCCCACAGAAGACCACACUGACCCAUUAUUACACUGAUGAUAUCAUGCUGAUUGGGCAAGAGAAGCAAGAGGAAGGAAGGCCCACAGAAGUUGCUGUGUGAACAUGUGUGGAGAUGUGAAUCCAUAUAGCUCAAAGGGUGGACUGUGACACCUAUGAGGUAUGUUGCACAGAUAUUUUUAAGAGAGAAGCUACUGUAAGGAGUGUUGUUAGCUGACAGCCUCCAGCUGCUUUGGGAUCUACUGCUGCAUUCAGCCCAAGGUCAUUCUUCACUUAGGUUGUUCUCAAUCAAUAAGUAAGCAUGGCAGGGGUACUAGAGCCAAGCUUUAUCUUUCCCAUGUCUUGCAGUCUUUGCUCUGGGGCUCCACAUCAGCCUGGCUGACUCUUCCUUAGAACUGCAUUGCAG